This 61-nucleotide transfer RNA is filed under the name Moraxella catarrhalis. RNAcentral's name for it is "tRNA-Met". It matches the Rfam family "tRNA", at positions 7 to 64 of the family's 71-position model. Rfam says of the family: Transfer RNA (tRNA) molecules are approximately 80 nucleotides in length. Lineage: Bacteria; Pseudomonadati; Pseudomonadota; Gammaproteobacteria; Moraxellales; Moraxellaceae. The record is from RNAcentral.
GUAGCUCAGCUGGUUAGAGCGCACGACUCAUAAUCGUGAGGUCAAGAGUUCAAGUCUCUUC